AAAUGAGGAUGUCCCUAUUUCAAUGAAAGAACUAAAACCUUUACAGAGAAAAACAGAUAAAAAGUUGGAUGACAUAAGUUCUAACUACACAGAAUCUUUCAGCACACUAGAUGAAAAUGACCUUUUAAAUCCAUCAGAAGAUAUAAUUGCAGUUCAGUUAAAAUUUAGAGCAUGUUUAAAGAUUCUCACAGUAGAACUUCGUACUUUAUCUACUGGCUAUGAAAUAGAUGGUGGAAAAUUGCGUUACCAACUAUACCACUGGCUUGAAAAAGAGGUGAUAGCUCUUCAGAGGACUUGUGACUUUUGCUCAGAUGCUGAAGAACUACAGUCUGCAUUUGGCAGAAAUGAAGAUGAAUUUGGAUUAAAUGAGGAUGCUGAAGAUUUGCCUCACCAAACAAAAGUGAAACAACUGAGAGAAAAUUUUCAGGAAAAAAGACAGUGGCUCUUGAAGUAUCAGUCACUUUUGAGAAUGUUUCUUAGUUACUGCAUACUUCAUGGAUCCCAUGGUGGGGGUCUUGCAUCUGUAAGAAUGGAAUUGAUUUUGCUUUUGCAAGAAUCUCAGCAGGAAACAUCAGAACCACUAUUUUCUAGCCCUCUGUCAGAGCAAACCUCAGUGCCUCUCCUCUUUGCUUGUACAGCCAAUGCCAAAACAGUAGUUGCCAAUCCAUUAUUGCACCUUAGUAAUCUGACACAUG
This 695-nucleotide small RNA is filed under the name Pan troglodytes (chimpanzee). Its description in RNAcentral is "processed transcript". Lineage: Eukaryota; Metazoa; Chordata; Mammalia; Primates; Hominidae. The record is from RNAcentral.